GAGGGAGGGUUAAGGCGCCUGGGCGCACAGCGAGCCGGCUGAGGGGGCUGUGGCGGCCGCGGCGGGCGACAUGGACAACGCGGGGAAGGAGCGUGAGGCAGUACAGCUGAUGGCGGAGGCCGAGAAGCGAGUCAAGGCCUCCCACUCCUUCCUCCGAGGGCUGUUUGGAGGAAACACAAGAAUAGAAGAGGCUUGUGAAAUGUAUACCAGAGCUGCAAAUAUGUUCAAGAUGGCUAAAAAUUGGAGUGCUGCAGGAAACGCAUUUUGUCAGGCAGCCAAGCUCCACAUGCAGCUUCAGAGCAAACAUGACUCCGCUACCAGCUUUGUGGAUGCUGGAAAUGCUUACAAAAAGGCAGAUCCCCAAGGUAAGACAGCCAGGCAUGUAGCAUGCUAUCUCUGUGUGUAACUAACCAGUCAGUACUUCCCUCAACGUUAAGGUCAGUGUUGGUGUGCUUUCAAGUCCUGGUAAAAAGGAAUUUUUGUAUUUUGGAAUAAUAGAGAAUUUUGAUAACCUUAGGGAUUUUUCUUUUUUAAUCAUUUGGGGGCUUUUAUGAGGAGAAAUUAUGUUAAAUUUAUACUGGCUGUUUAUAGCAUCAUUUAAUUAAACUCUUAUUUAUAUUGCAUUUUAGAGAAUUUUUUGGAAAUUACCUUUAAUUUUAUCUAAGACUUCUUAUAUCUUAAUUUUGUGAAAAUG
This 694-nucleotide small RNA is filed under the name Pan troglodytes (chimpanzee). RNAcentral describes it as "processed transcript". The record is from RNAcentral. Lineage: Eukaryota; Metazoa; Chordata; Mammalia; Primates; Hominidae.